GACGAACGCUGGCGGCGUGCUUAACACAUGCAAGUCGAACGGAAAGGCCCUGCUUUUGUGGGGUGCUCGAGUGGCGAACGGGUGAGUAACACGUGAGUAACCUGCCCUUGACUUUGGGAUAACUUCAGGAAACUGGGGCUAAUACCUGCUAGGAGCUCCUGCUGCAUGGUGGGGGUUGGAAAGUUUCGGCGGUUGGGGAUGGACUCGCGGCUUAUCAGCUUGUUGGUGGGGUAGUGGCUUACCAAGGCUUUGACGGGUAGCCGGCCUGAGAGGGUGACCGGCCACAUUGGGACUGAGAUACGGACCAGACUCCUACGGGAGGCAGCAGUGGGGAAUAUUGCACAAUGGGCGGAAGCCUGAUGCAGCAACGCCGCGUGCGGGAUGACGGCCUUCGGGUUGUAAACCGCUUUCGCCUGUGACGAAGCGUGAGUGACGGUAAUGGGUAAAGAAGCACCGGCUAACUACGUG
Molecule: ribosomal RNA, 468 nt
Filed under: uncultured bacterium
Lineage: Bacteria
Description: partial 16S ribosomal RNA
Rfam family: Bacterial small subunit ribosomal RNA
Source: RNAcentral